Small nucleolar RNA from Accipiter nisus (Eurasian sparrowhawk), 129 nucleotides. The record is from Ensembl. NCBI's taxonomy places the organism in Eukaryota, Metazoa, Chordata, Aves, Accipitriformes, Accipitridae.
CCUGCCACUAUACCUGUCCUGAAUUCUGUGGCUGGUAUAUUCCAGUGGUGAGCUGAGAGGAAGCCCCAGUCCAGGAAGCAGUCCUCUUCUGGUUGUGGGGAGGCCUGUGCCGAAAGGCUGGGAACAAGU